RNAcentral lists this ribosomal RNA (490 nucleotides) under uncultured bacterium. RNAcentral describes it as "partial 16S ribosomal RNA". It matches the Rfam family "Bacterial small subunit ribosomal RNA", at positions 30 to 507 of the family's 1533-position model. The record is from RNAcentral.
AUUGAACGCUGGCGGCAGGCCUAACACAUGCAAGUCGAAUGGUAACAGGAAACAGCUUGCUGUUUCGCUGACGAGUGGCGGACGGGUGAGUAAUGUCUGGGAAACUGCCUGAUGGAGGGGGAUAACUACUGGAAACGGUAGCUAAUACCGCAUAACGUCGCAAGACCAAAGAGGGGGACCUUCGGGCCUCUUGCCAUCAGAUGUGCCCAGAUGGGAUUAGCUAGUAGGUGGGGUAACGGCUCACCUAGGCGACGAUCCCUAGCUGGUCUGAGAGGAUGACCAGCCACACUGGAACUGAGACACGGUCCAGACUCCUACGGGAGGCAGCAGUGGGGAAUAUUGCACAAUGGGCGCAAGCCUGAUGCAGCCAUGCCGCGUGUAUGAAGAAGGCCUUCGGGUUGUAAAGUACUUUCAGCGGGGAGGAAGGGAGUAAAGUUAAUACCUUUGCUCAUUGACGUUACCCGCAGAAGAAGCACCGGCUAACUCCGAG